Molecule: ribosomal RNA, 165 nt
Filed under: uncultured bacterium
Lineage: Bacteria
Description: partial 16S ribosomal RNA
Rfam family: Bacterial small subunit ribosomal RNA
Source: RNAcentral
UAGGGAAUCUUCCACAAUGGACGAAAGUACUGAUGGAGCAACGCCGCGUGAGUGAAGAAGGGUUUCGGCUCGUAAAACUCUGUUGUAAGAGAAGAAUGACAUUGAGAGUAACUGUUCAAUGUGUGACGGUAUCUUACCAGAAAGGAACGGCUAAAUACGUGCCAG